CGCAGCCCCUACACCACUCGAAAGGUCGCUGUUGCCUAGUUGGAGGCCGCCCACUGGAGAAGUGGCUCCUUUGGAGGUAGACAACCCAGAGCUUCUUGCAACUAGCAAGGUCCAGCAGGAGGGGGUUGGAGAGAGUGUUAAGGCAGAGGCUGACCACCUAGAUGACGAUGAGAUUGUCGAGGGUUCCAAUGGGGACCUACCCACGAGAUGGGUGGCCGGGACUAGAUGGGUGGU
Molecule: long non-coding RNA, 234 nt
Filed under: Elaeis guineensis (African oil palm)
Lineage: Eukaryota; Viridiplantae; Streptophyta; Magnoliopsida; Arecales; Arecaceae
Description: long non-coding RNA (EGUI_LNC019747)
Source: RNAcentral